This 460-nucleotide ribosomal RNA is filed under the name uncultured bacterium. Its description in RNAcentral is "partial 16S ribosomal RNA". It matches the Rfam family "Bacterial small subunit ribosomal RNA", at positions 338 to 795 of the family's 1533-position model. The record is from RNAcentral.
CCUACGGGCGGCAGCAGUGAGGAAUAUUGGUCAAUGGACGAGAGUCUGAACCAGCCAAGUAGCGUGAAGGAUGACUGCCCUAUGGGUUGUAAACUUCUUUUAUAUGGGAAUAAACUGUUCCACGUGUGGGCUUUUGUAUGUACCCUAUGAAUAAGGAUCGGCUAACUCCGUGCCAGCAGCCGCGGUAAUACGGGGGAUCCGAGCGUUAUCCGGAGUUAUUGGGUUUAAAGGGAGCGUAGGUGGAUUGUUAAGUCAGUUGUGAAAGUUUGCGGCUCAACCGUAAAAUUGCAGUUGAAACUGGCAGUCUUGAGUACAGUAGAGGUGGGCGGAAUUCGUGGUGUAGCGGUGAAAUGCUUAGAUAUCACGAAGAACUCCGAUUGCGAAGGCAGCUCACUGGACUGCAACUGACACUGAGGCUCGAAAGUGUGGGUAUCAAACAGGAUUAGAUACCCCAGUAGUC